UCGUCAACGGGCACUUUG
RNAcentral lists this microRNA (18 nucleotides) under Polistes canadensis. RNAcentral describes it as "pca-miR-980-5p". Its record names the gene pca-miR-980-5p. Lineage: Eukaryota; Metazoa; Arthropoda; Insecta; Hymenoptera; Vespidae. The record is from miRBase by way of RNAcentral.